GACGAGCGCUGGCGGCUUGCUUAACACGUGCGAGUCGAGCGAGGAGGCCGAGCUUGCUAGGUGGAUUAGUGGCGAACGGGUGAGUAAUACGUGAGUAACCUACCUUUAACUCUGGGAUAAGCCUGGGAAACUGGGCCUAAUACCGGAUACGACCAAUCUCCGCAUGGGGUGUUGGUGGAAAGCGUUAUGUAGUGGUUAUAGAUGGGCUCACGGCCUAUCAGCUUGUUGGUGAGGUAAAGGCUCACCAAGGCGACGACGGGUAGCCGGCCUGAGAGGGUGACCGGCCACACUGGGACUGAGACACGGCCCAGACUCCUACGGGAGGCAGCAGUGGGGAAUAUUGCACAAUGGGCGCAAGCCUGAUGCAGCGACGCCGCGUGAGGGAUGACGGCCUUCGGGUUGUAAACCUCUGUUAGCAGGGAAGAAGAGAGAUUGACGGUACCUGCAGAGAAAGCGCCGGCUAACUACGUGCCAGCAGCCGCGGUAAUACGUAGGGCGCGAGCGUUGUCCGGAAUUAUUGGGCGUAAAGAGCUUGUAGGGCGGUUUGUCGCGUCUGCUGUGAAAGGCCGGAGCUUAACUCCGUGUAUUGCAGUGGGUACGGGCAGACUAGAGUGCAGUAGGGGAGACUGGAAUUCCUGGUGUAGCGGUGGAAUGCGCAGAUAUCAGGAGGAACACCGAUGGCGAAGGCAGGUCUCUGGGCUGUAACUGACGCUGAGAAGCGAAAGCAUGGGGAGCGAACAGGAUUAGAUACCCUGGUAGUCCAUGCCGUAAACGUUGGGCACUAGGUGUGGGGAACAUUCCACGUUUUCCGCGCCGUAGCUAACGCAUUAAGUGCCCCGCCUGGGGAGUACGGCCGCAAGGCUAAAACUCAAAGAAAUUGACGGGGGCCCGCACAAGCGGCGGAGCAUGCGGAUUAAUUCGAUGCAACGCGAAGAACCUUACCAAGGCUUGACAUAUACUGGAUCGCAUCAGAGAUGGUGUUUCCCUUCGGGGCUGGUAUACAGGUGGUGCAUGGUUGUCGUCAGCUCGUGUCGUGAGAUGUUGGGUUAAGUCCCGCAACGAGCGCAACCCUCGUUCUAUGUUGCCAGCACGUUAUGGUGGGGACUCAUAGGAGACUGCCGGGGUCAACUCGGAGGAAGGUGGGGAUGACGUCAAAUCAUCAUGCCCCUUAUGUCUUGGGCUUCACGCAUGCUACAAUGGCCGGUACAGAGGGUUGCGAUACUGUGAGGUGGAGCUAAUCCCUAAAAGCCGGUCUCAGUUCGGAUUGGGGUCUGCAACUCGACCCCAUGAAGUCGGAGUCGCUAGUAAUCGCAGAUCAGCAACGCUGCGGUGAAUACGUUCCCGGGCCU
Molecule: ribosomal RNA, 1349 nt
Filed under: uncultured bacterium
Lineage: Bacteria
Description: bacterial SSU rRNA
Rfam family: Bacterial small subunit ribosomal RNA
Source: RNAcentral